This 497-nucleotide ribosomal RNA is filed under the name uncultured bacterium. Its description in RNAcentral is "partial 16S ribosomal RNA". It matches the Rfam family "Bacterial small subunit ribosomal RNA", at positions 28 to 507 of the family's 1533-position model. The record is from RNAcentral.
GAUGAACGCUGGCGGCGUGCCUAAUACAUGCAAGUCGAGCGAACAGACGAGGAGCUUGCUCCUCUGACGUUAGCGGCGGACGGGUGAGUAACACGUGGAUAACCUACCUAUAAGACUGGGAUAACUUCGGGAAACCGGAGCUAAUACCGGAUAAUAUAUUGAACCGCAUGGUUCAAUAGUGAAAGACGGUUUUGCUGUCACUUAUCGAUGGAUCCGCGCCGCAUUAGCUAGUUGGUAAGGUAACGGCUUACCAAGGCAACGAUGCGUAGCCGACCUGAGAGGGUGAUCGGCCACACUGGAACUGAGACACGGUCCAGACUCCUACGGGAGGCAGCAGUAGGGAAUCUUCCGCAAUGGGCGAAAGCCUGACGGAGCGACGCCGAGUGAGUGAUGAAGGUCUUCGGAGCGUAAAACUCUGUUAUUAGGGAAGAACAAAUGUGUAAGUAGCUGUGCACGGAUUGACGGUACCUAAUCAGAAAGCCACGGCUAACUACGUG